AUACUAAUACAUGCAAGUCGAGCGAUGAUUAAAGAUAGCUUGCUAUUUUUAUGAAGAGCGGCGAACGGGUGAGUAACGCGUGGGAAAUCUGCCGAGUAGCGGGGGACAACGUUUGGAAACGAACGCUAAUACCGCAUAACAAUGAGAAUCGCAUGAUUCUUAUUUGAAAGAAGCAAUUGCUUCACUACUUGAUGAUCCCGCGUUGUAUUAGCUAGUUGGUAGUGUAAAGGACUACCAAGGCGAUGAUACAUAGCCGACCUGAGAGGGUGAUCGGCCACACUGGGACUGAGACACGGCCCAGACUCCUACGGGAGGCAGCAGUAGGGAAUCUUCGGCAAUGGGGGCAACCCUGACCGAGCAACGCCGCGUGAGUGAAGAAGGUUUUCGGAUCGUAAAACUCUGUUGUUAGAGAAGAACGUUAAGUAGAGUGGAAAAUUACUUAAGUGACGGUAUCUAACCAGAAAGGGACGGCUAACUACGUGCCAGCAGCCGCGGUAAUACGUARGUCCCAAGCGUUGUCCGGAUUUAUUGGGCGUAAAGCGAGCGCAGGUGGUUUCUUAAGUCUGAUGUAAAAGGCAGUGGCUCAACCAUUGUGUGCAUUGGAAACUGGGAGACUUGAGUGCAGGAGAGGAGAG
This 635-nucleotide ribosomal RNA is filed under the name Lactococcus garvieae. RNAcentral describes it as "bacterial SSU rRNA". It matches the Rfam family "Bacterial small subunit ribosomal RNA", at positions 44 to 661 of the family's 1533-position model. The record is from RNAcentral. Lineage: Bacteria; Bacillati; Bacillota; Bacilli; Lactobacillales; Streptococcaceae.